This 253-nucleotide ribosomal RNA is filed under the name uncultured bacterium. RNAcentral describes it as "partial 16S ribosomal RNA". It matches the Rfam family "Bacterial small subunit ribosomal RNA", at positions 524 to 776 of the family's 1533-position model. The record is from RNAcentral.
UACGAGGGGAGCAAGCGUUGUUCGGAUUUAUUGGGCGUAAAGGGCGCGUAGGCGGCUCGGCACGUCCGUUGUGAAAUCGCCCGGCUCAACUGGGCGGGGUCAGCGGAUACGGCCGAGCUUGAGCAAGCUAGGGGGCAAUGGAAUUCCCGGUGUAGUGGUGGAAUGCGUAGAUAUCGGGAGGAACACCAGUGGCGAAGGCGGUUGCCUGGAGCUCUGCUGACGCUGAUGCGCGAAAGCGUGGGGAGCGAUCCGG